UGAGUGGAUGGGGAGCAACCUAUGUUGUGCUGUGUAAAGGUAGUGCCAAGAAAAGCGAUGAUCAUGUUGAAAAUCAAUUCCCGGUACCCGAAACCGACACAGGUGGGCAAGUAGAGAAUACUAAGGGGCGCGAGGUAACUCUCUCCAAGGAACUCGGCAAAAUGACCCCGUAACUUAGGGAGAAGGGGUGCCACCGAGAGGUGGUCGCAGUGAAGAGGCCCAGGCGACUGUUUAGCAAAAACAUAGGUCUCUGCAAACUCGAAAGAGGAGGUAUAGGGGCUGACGCCUGCCCAGUGCCGGAAGGUUAAAGAAGUUGGUCAGUUUUAGGAUGAAGCUAGCGACUGAAGCCCCGGUGAACGGCGGCCGUAACUAUAACGGUCCUAAGGUAGCGAAAUUCCUUGUCGGGUAAGUUCCGACCCGCACGAAAGGCGUAACGAUCUGGGCGCUGUCUCGGAGAGAGGCUCGGCGAAAUAGGAUUGUCUGUGAAGAUACGGACUACCUGCAUUUGGACAGAAAGACCCUAUGAAGCUUUACUAUAGCUUGGAAUUGUGUUCGGGCUUCCUGUGCGCAGGAUAGGUGGGAGGCGUAGAAGGUAUUCUUGUGGGGAUACUGGAGCCAACGGUGAGAUACCACUCUCAGGAGGCUAGAAUUCUAACUUAAUUAAGGACAGUUUCAGGUGGGUAGUUUGACUGGGCGGUCGCCUCCAAAAAGGUAACGGAGGCGUACAAAGGUUCCCUCAGACUGGUUGGAAAUCGGUCGAAGAGUGCAAAGGCAGAAGGGAGCUUGACUGCGAGAAGUACAGUUCGAGCAGGGUGGAAACACGGUCUUAGUGAUCCGACGGUGCUGUGUGGAAGGGCCGUCGCUCAACGGAUAAAAGUUACUCUAGGAUAACAGGCUGAUCUCCCCCAAGAGUUCACAUCGACGGGGAGGUUUGGCACCUCGAUGUCGGCUCAUCGCAACCUGGGGCGGAAGUACGUCCCAAGGGUUGGGCUGUUCGCCCAUUAAAGCGGUACGUGAGCUGGGUUCAGAACGUCGUGAGACAGUUCGGUCCAUAUCCGAUGUAGGCGUGAGAAUAUUGAGAGGAGCCUUCCUUAGUACGAGAGGACCGGGAAGGACGCACCGCUGGUGUACCUGUUAUGAUGCCAAUUGUAAACGCAGGGUAGCCAAGUGCGGAGAGGAUAACCGCUGAAAGCAUCUAAGUGGGAAGCCCACCUCAAGAUGAGUAUUCUGGUGUAAGGUCACGGGAAGACGACCCGUAAAUAGGCACGAGGUGGAAGUGCAGAGAUGUAUGAAGCCGAAGUGUACUAAUAGACCGUCGGCUUGACC
This 1326-nucleotide ribosomal RNA is filed under the name metagenome. Its description in RNAcentral is "bacterial LSU rRNA". It matches the Rfam family "Bacterial large subunit ribosomal RNA", at positions 1559 to 2925 of the family's 2925-position model. The record is from RNAcentral.